RNAcentral lists this unclassified non-coding RNA (214 nucleotides) under Pyrenochaetopsis leptospora. RNAcentral describes it as "partial internal transcribed spacer region". The stretch from base 1 to 46 matches the Rfam family "Eukaryotic small subunit ribosomal RNA", at positions 1786 to 1831 of the family's 1831-position model. The record is from RNAcentral. Lineage: Eukaryota; Fungi; Ascomycota; Dothideomycetes; Pleosporales; Pyrenochaetopsidaceae.
AAGUCGUAACAAGGUUUCCGUAGGUGAACCUGCGGAAGGAUCAUUAUCAAAACAGCGGACUUCGGUCCUUGCUGCACCCUUGUCUUUUGCGUACCGUAUGUUUCCUCGGCGGGCUUGCCUGCCGGUUGGACAUUAUCAAACCUUUUUGUAGUUGCAAUCAGCGUCAGAAACAAAACAAUAAUUACAACUUUCAACAACGGAUCUCUUGGUUCUG